This 211-nucleotide unclassified non-coding RNA is filed under the name plant metagenome. RNAcentral describes it as "partial contains small subunit ribosomal RNA, internal transcribed spacer 1, and 5.8S ribosomal RNA". The record is from RNAcentral.
UUUACGUAGGUGAACCUGCGGAAGGAUCAUUCAUAAUAAAGUGUUUUAUGGCACUUUUUAAAAAUCCAUAUCCACCUUGUGUGCAAUGUUAGAUCUCGUCAAUCUUGGCGAGAUUUUUAUACAUCAACUCAUUCUUUAACUAAUUUGUCUGAAAAAUAUUAUGAAUACUUAAUUCAAAAUACAACUUUCAACAACGGAUCUCUUGGCUCUC